Molecule: non-coding RNA, 1258 nt
Organism: Megalopta genalis
Lineage: Eukaryota; Metazoa; Arthropoda; Insecta; Hymenoptera; Halictidae
Source: RefSeq, a predicted model, not a curated record
UCUCGUCGCGUCGCGGCGCGCGGUUUUCCAGCAAGUUUCGCGGCCGGGACGAUAAAGUGUAAAAGUUGCACACGCGUUCCGCGGCGUAUUGUGCCGUCGCGUCGCGCGAGUGUCAACAAGUUAUUUGAAAAAUGCGACCGCGGCUGAUUCGCCGGAGACGGAUUCGGCUGUCGCGGCGCGCGACAACUUCGCGGCUGUCGCGGCAUAAACUCGACUCGGAGGCGUCGUCCCUUCCCGAACUUAUUUGUGUUCCUCCCGAAUUACUUCCGCGAACAGUUUCCAAAGAUAUGACAAAGUUCGGCCGCCGCCCGGAACCGAUGACUUUGUCGCGGCGUGCGGUCGCCGACGACGACGACGAACGACGGUCACUGGGUCGUCUUGACCCCGGUACACCGAGGCGGGCUCUACAGAUUUAAAAGAUGUCGCCUGCAUCGCUUGUAUCCGAACGGAACAACGUACGUAUCUUCCUGGACCAAACUACGAUGCACUUUCGGAAUUAUCGGGGUAACGACCAUUGGCGUAGCCGAGAGUUUCGUGCGACAGAGGGAUGGGAACGCUUUAAGUAUCCGAAUCGUGACUAAUGCGAUUUGGGUGGCCCGGGGUCCGGCGGGUGCCGUCGUCGAGUUUCCUCUAUUCUCCGCCUUUUUCCGAGUGCAUUAAAUUAUAUAAAGAAGCGCAAACGAGCGGGCUUUGCCGAGCAACGUCGUCUCGCGGAGCCGCGACCAGGGAGAAUUGAUCGUCGGAUUCUGCUGGCGAAUCUUUUUCGCGUCGUUGGAAUGUUUGGGGGAGGGCAUUGUUACAUUUAGCCGGGCCAAGCCUCCGAACAAUGUCUAGAUCCCGAAGAUAUGCCCUUUUUCAUUUCGCUGGUUCGAUAGGGUAAAUGCAGGCAUUACCGCGGUUUCUCGACGGAGGCGAACCUUGACAGAGAAAAUGAGAUAUUUCGCGCCAAUAAAUCGGCGACUCGAGCUACACCUAUUAUUCUUUAACCGGAGCAUUGACUUUCCUCAAAAUAUAUUGGAUCUGAAAUUCGAUCUGGAAGCACGAAUUUCGUUAACCCCUUGACACGUUAUUUUCUUUGCAGUUAUCGCGAUUAGAAAUUCUUCGAUUGCAAUAAUUGCAAUAAUAAGGGAAAGAAAGUUGAUGCUUAUUGUGCGUCUAAAUAUACUUGAAUGCUCAAAAUAUUGCUGGCAAGAGAUUAGAAUUUUAUUCUAAUUUUAAAGGACAGAAUAACACACACACAUUUAUACAGAAUAAAUUA